GACAAACGCUGGCGGCGUGCUUAACACAUGCAAGUCGAACGCUGAAGCUCAGCUUUUGUUGGGUGGAUGAGUGGCGAACGGGUGAGUAACACGUGAGUAACCUGCCCCCUUCUUUGGGAUAACUCCCGGAAACGGGUGCUAAUACUGGAUAUUCACUGGUCUUCGCAUGGGGGUUGGUGGAAAGGGUUUUUCUGGUGGGGGAUGGGCUCGCGGCCUAUCAGCUUGUUGGUGGGGUGAUGGCCUACCAAGUGUUUGACGGGUAGCCGGCCUGAGAGGGUGACCGGUCAGAUUGGGACUGAGAUACGGCCCAGACUACUACGGGAGGCAGCAGUGGGGAAAAUUGCACAAUGGGCGCAAGCCUGAUGCAGCGACGCAGCGUGAGGGAUGGAGGCCGUCGGGUUGUGAACCUCUUUCGCUAAUGGUCAAGCCGCAACAAUGGUUGUGGUGAGGGUAGUGGGUAAAGAAGCGCCGGCUAACUACGUG
This 483-nucleotide ribosomal RNA is filed under the name uncultured bacterium. RNAcentral's name for it is "partial 16S ribosomal RNA". It matches the Rfam family "Bacterial small subunit ribosomal RNA", at positions 28 to 507 of the family's 1533-position model. The record is from RNAcentral.